Long non-coding RNA from Oncorhynchus keta (chum salmon), 521 nucleotides. RefSeq lists it as uncharacterized. Lineage: Eukaryota; Metazoa; Chordata; Actinopteri; Salmoniformes; Salmonidae. The record is from RefSeq and is a predicted model, not a curated record. The transcript is spliced from 3 exons.
GAUACUGUAGGUGAUAUACAGUAUUGUUACAUACUGUACUCUACACACUGUGAUUGAAUCAGGACUGAUACUGUAGGUGAUAUACAGUAUUGUUACAUACUGUACUCUACACACUGUGGUUGAAUCAGGACUGAUACUGUAGGUGAUAUACAGUAUUGUUACAUACUGUACUCUACACACUGUGGUUGAAUCAGGACUGAUACUGUAGGUGAUAUACAGUAUUGUUACAUACUGUACUCUACACACUGUGGUUGAAUCAGGACUGAUACUGUAGGUGAUAUACAGUAUUGUUACAUACUGUACUCUACACACUGUGGUUGAAUCAGGACUGAUACUGUAGGUGAUAUACAGUAUUGUUACAUACUGUACUCUACACACUGUGGUUGAAUCAGGACUGAUACUGUAGGUGAUAUACAGUAUUGUUACAUACUGUACACUACACACUGUGGUUGAAUCAGGACUGAUACUGUAGGUGAUAUACAGUAUUGUUACAUACUGUACUCUACACACUGUGAUUGAAU